GCUUGGCAGUAUUUAAAUGUUGAUUUUCUUCUAUCUUCCUCCGGAGUGCAUUUCUGUGCUUGUCCACGAGAGGUCCCCACAGGCUCCAAACUGGGUUUCAUCGGACUCGGCGCCUCAACUAGCGCGGAGUGCGUAGGCCCCGCCGGAGCGCAGGGCGUGAUGACGUCACGAGGCGCCGGGACGGUUUCGGCCCAAACUCUCCGGGUUUGCCCGCUGCUGAGUCGCCUUCCAGACCCACGAGGCUCACGUUCAACGGCUGCCCAGUGCGUCCCGCGCAAGGGAGGAAAAGCUGCGAACGAGGGAGGUGGAGCUAGGCUGUUGGGCUUAAAAUAAAACCGAACCAUGGAAUCCAGCCUUCCUGAUCAGGGCUCGGGAAUGGAUAACAGGACUUUUGAGUCAUCACUGGAAUAAACUCAUUAAAGCCUCUUCAUAACGCCAUAUCUGUAACUGAAGGUGGGCGAGAAUGGCAAAGGAAGAAAACAGGGCUCCCAGGAAGUAGAGGAUGGCGCCCAUCACCUCCUUGGAUAUGAGGACAUCUUUUGGGAGUGCCUCCAGCGUCACUUCAUGUCCUUUGUCUAGAGCCCCUUCAAGCUGUGAGGAAAGGUG
Molecule: long non-coding RNA, 606 nt
Organism: Myotis lucifugus (little brown bat)
Lineage: Eukaryota; Metazoa; Chordata; Mammalia; Chiroptera; Vespertilionidae
Exons: 3
Source: RefSeq, a predicted model, not a curated record